GUUCUAUUACCUCCGUCCCAAAUUACCUGUCUUUGAUUUGUCUAGAUACGGAUGUAUCUAACACUGAAACGUGUCUGGAUACAUCCUUAUCUAGAAAAAUCCAAGACAAGUAAUUCGGGACGGAGGGAGUAUUAG
Triticum aestivum (bread wheat) is the source of this 135-nucleotide non-coding RNA. NCBI's taxonomy places the organism in Eukaryota, Viridiplantae, Streptophyta, Magnoliopsida, Poales, Poaceae. The record is from Rfam.